RNAcentral lists this long non-coding RNA (978 nucleotides) under Homo sapiens (human). RNAcentral's name for it is "HSALNT0107371". The record is from RNAcentral. Lineage: Eukaryota; Metazoa; Chordata; Mammalia; Primates; Hominidae.
AAACUUCAGAGGCGGUGCAUGUUGGAAACAUCUGAAGAGAAGUAUGACAAAGAGAGGACUUUUAAGAUAAGUGAGACACCUGAGAGCAAGUGUUGUGGGGGCUGUUGUACAGCAAGAGGAUUCAGUCAAAAUUUCUGUAGCCUAAAAUGUCAAAAAUUUUAAUGUGCAGUAAUUCCGGGGAAAUACCUUAAAAUAAAGAAGAAGAGUGCAGAUAACAGCUGGGCUCUAAUGAUGAAAAUGGCAGCCUUGUAAAAGAGCCAGUUCUCUAUAAUUAGAAGGGUGGAAGUAAAAGAAGUUGCAGGACUGGUGUGACAUUGAAGGGACUCUGUCUAUGGCUGGGGGCUUGCACUGCAUCAUCUCUGAAAUCUUUCCAACUCUAAGGCUCUGAUUCUAUAUGUGCCAGUCUCCAGUUCACCUGAGACUCUCAAUUCACUGGAUAGCAUCUGUCUAUUGACUACUUCUGCUGGAAUUCCCACCAAUUUUUUAGUAGGAAAAACUAUUUGGAUUUUUUUUUUAAUUCUUUGCUUCUACCCAUAGAUCUCCAGCACAGAAAGCGCCAGGAGCAAAUCAAAGAAGCUUCUAUUAUGGUUUGCUUCUAAGAAAUUCUACUUGGUCCCACCUCCUUGACUCAGAUGAAUUUCAAAUGCCCAUAUCCGGUUCUAAAGCAAAGUUGCAUUGGAAUUUUUACUGAAAUUUUAUUCUAAUGAUCCACUAGUAUGGGGAAAAUUGACAUCUUUAUAGUAUUGAAUGUUCCAUGCAGAAACAAGACGGAGUCUCUCUUUGCCGCCCAGGCUGGAGUGCAGUGGCGCAAUCGCGGCUCACUGUAGCCUCCGCCUCCUGGAUUCAAUCGAUUCUCCUGCCUCAGCCUCCCAGUGAUUUUUUUCUUAUUGUCCCAGUUCAUUUGCCAAAAGUCCAAGCUUUCCCAUUUGUUAGAAAUGCUUCUUUACUAAAAUAAAUUAAAUUGAAUUUACUUAAAUU